CGGCCGGCCAACGCUGCGCCCCGCCCCCUACCGGGACCUAGGCGCUGAUUGGCCCCUGAGAGACCCUUUGCGCCCAGGCAUUGGUCCAGUGGCCGCCUGUCGACGAGGGGGCGGGACUCCGAGGGGUAGCGAUUCCCGUAACGCGGCUCUUCGCGUCCCGGAUUCCGGUGGCUGCGUCCGCGUCGCCUCUCCCAGACUAGAUCGAAGGGUUCCCCCCACCUCCCCUCUGUGGGCGGAAAGAGCGGAAUGUUCCAUUUUUCUGUGGAAUAACGGGGUCAUGAACUGGAGCCCGGGUGCUGCCCGCCGCCCGCUGCCCCCGCCCUCCCUUCUCGCCAGGGCGCCUGCGGCCUCUCUUCGCGGCCUUCCCCGAGGGACUCAGAGCCGCGAGGGACCGCCUAGCUCCCUUGGGGAUGGGGAAGGCGUGGGAGCCUCUUGGGGAAAGUGAAGAGCUCGGUGGCCGUGACUCCGCACGAGACUGCGGCAGAUUGUGGCGGCGGCUUCUCUCCAAGACUUACGUAAACGAGCCUUGCCACAGUACUUUUUUAAAUUAGUAAAUGAGUUUGGGUGCGAUUGAUCAGUGAGCCCCAGAGGUGGUGGCCCACCAAGCGACUAGUGUUUCUUUGCGGAUUUACGGAAUGGCCAUCUUCCAUAAUUAACAAAUAAAUAAAUGAAAUUUAAUGUCAGGGUCAAAUGAAACUGGAAACAAAGCUUAUCUGGUGAUAUAUCAAAUUAUGAGAGUCAUUAUUUGGAUGUAAGGAUAUAUGACAGAUAGACUCUUAGGAGAAAUGCUAUGACCUCCUGCUUCUUGGUAUUCCUUGUGUGAUUUCCUCCUCUUGAGUGUGAAGGCAUGUAUGUCAUUGAGUUAUAUAAGAUAGUGCCCAUCUUGCUAGUGUCUCUCUCUCUCUUGUGGCUCUGAAAAAUCAAGCUGCCUGCCAUGUUUGAGCUUUGAUAUGGAAAGACCCACAUGUUAAGGAACUGAGGGCAGACUCUGCCAACAGCUAGCUUUGAAACUGAAUCUCCCGGCCAGGCACAGUGGCUCAUGCCUUUAAUCCCAGCACUUUGGGAGGCCAAGGUGGGUGGAUCACAAGGUCAGGAGUUCAAGACCAGCCUGGCCAAGAUGGUGAAACCCCAUCUCUACUAAAAAUACAAAAAUUAGCUGGGUGUGGUGGCAGGCACCUGUAAUCCCAGCUACCCAGGAGGCUGAGGGAGAGAAUUUCUUGAACCCAGGAGGCAGAGGUUGCAGUGAGCUGAGAUCACGCCACUGCACUCCAGCCUGGGUGGCAGAGCGAGACUCCAUCUCAAAAAAAAAAAAAAAAGAGAGAAAGAAACCAAAUCUCUCAGUCCUACAACCUCAAGGAACUGAAUUUUGCCAACAAAAGCAGAUCCUUCCCCAGUCAAGCCUCAGAUGAGACAGCAUCCUCAGCUAACAACUUGUUUGCAGCCUCAUGAGAACUGAAGCAGAGAACCCAGCUAAACUGUGCCUAGACUCCUGACCACAGAAACUGAGAUAAUAAAUGUGUGUUGUUUUAAGCUGCCAAGUAUGUGAUAAUUUGUUAUGUAGUGGAGAACUAAUACAACAGGGAAAAGUUAAAAGCUAUUCACAUAAAUAUUUAUAAUGGAUACUAUUUCUACACAUUUAAAUCAAGCUUCUCUUACGUUCAUAAGAAGAUACGAAUCUGGAGAAGGAAAUUAUAUCAAGCAGAACGCUGCUCUGGUGUUGUGAAGACGGGAUCCCACCAUUCUAAUGUAUUCAAUUUAUUUAUUCAAUAAGUUUUGAGCAUCAACUAUGUUCCAGGCACUGAGAUAUUAAUCUAAGGAAGACACACGUGUUGUCCUCAUUGAGGAGCUCAAAAGUCUAAUACAUAAACCAACAAUCAUACAAAAAUCAUAGCCAUGUUACAGUGCUAUGAGGAAGAUGUUAAGAGAAUAUUCUGGAAGUACUCAUACAUAAAUACUUCAGAAACUGGGCAUUAUAAGAAGUCAGUUGCCUCUCUCUACUUUCAGUUCUACAUUUUUAUACCUUGUAGUGGAUUUAAAAUGGCCACAAAUUCUUCAAUACUCUUCUAUGGAGAGAUUUGAGGGCUAUUUCCCUUCAUCUUGAAUUUAGGCAGGCUUGUUCAGGGUCUGGCUUUUAAGAGGAGCUUUCACCUUGGUCUGUGGAAGUCCUGAGUCACUGUGUACAAAGUCCAUCUACCUUAUUACACCAUCUGGAGAGAGCUGAGACUACAGGGAGAGGGGGAGUGGCCCGGCUGAUCCCAGUCUUCCUAGUGACCCUGCCCAGGAACUUGGCAUGUGAGUAAAGCCAUCUUGGAACCUCCAUACCAGACCAGCCACGAGAUGAAUAAUACUAACUGAUCCCAGUCAAUGCCACAUAGAGCAGAAGAACUGCCUAACUGAAUUCUUUCCAAACUGCUGACUCAAAAAUUUGUAUGGUAUAAUAAAAUGUUUGUUUUAAGUCACUGUUUUGUUAGGAGUAAUAAGCAACCAGAAUAAAAUUCUAAUCUUUAUCAUGUACCGUGCUGAAAAUCUGACCAUCUCACUCUCCUUAAAACUCCGUCAAUCCCUUCCCAUUACCCAAAUC
RNAcentral lists this long non-coding RNA (2581 nucleotides) under Homo sapiens (human). Its description in RNAcentral is "HSALNT0088021". Lineage: Eukaryota; Metazoa; Chordata; Mammalia; Primates; Hominidae. The record is from RNAcentral.